UGGGGCGUCGUCUAACGGUAGGACAGCGGACUCUGACUCCGCCAGUCUAGGUUCGAAUCCUAGCGCCCCAGCCA
RNAcentral lists this transfer RNA (74 nucleotides) under Hyphomicrobiales bacterium. RNAcentral describes it as "tRNA-Gln". It matches the Rfam family "tRNA". Rfam says of the family: Transfer RNA (tRNA) molecules are approximately 80 nucleotides in length. Their secondary structure includes four short double-helical elements and three loops (D, anti-codon, and T loops). The record is from RNAcentral. Lineage: Bacteria; Pseudomonadati; Pseudomonadota; Alphaproteobacteria; Hyphomicrobiales.